This 497-nucleotide ribosomal RNA is filed under the name uncultured bacterium. Its description in RNAcentral is "partial 16S ribosomal RNA". It matches the Rfam family "Bacterial small subunit ribosomal RNA", at positions 28 to 507 of the family's 1533-position model. The record is from RNAcentral.
GAUGAACGCUGGCGGCGUGCCUAAUACAUGCAAGUCGAGCGAACGGACGAGAAGCUUGCUUUUCUGAUGUUAGCGGCGGACGGGUGAGUAACACGUGGAUAACCUACCUAUAAGACUGGGAUAACUUCGGGAAACCGGAGCUAAUACCGGAUAAUAUUUUGAACCGCAUGGUUCAAAAGUGAAAGACGGCCUUGCUGUCACUUAUAGAUGGAUCCGCGCUGCAUUAGCUAGUUGGUAAGGUAACGGCUUACCAAGGCAACGAUGCAUAGCCGACCUGAGAGGGUGAUCGGCCACACUGGAACUGAGACACGGUCCAGACUCCUACGGGAGGCAGCAGUAGGGAAUCUUCCGCAAUGGUCGAAAGCCUGACGGAGCAACGCCGCGUGAGUGAUGAAGGUCUUCGGAUCGUAAAACUCUGUUAUUAGGGAAGAACAUAUGUGUAAGUAACUGUGCACAUCUUGACGGUACCUAAUCAGAAAGCCACGGCUAACUACGUG